AGAAAUAUAGCUCCAUGGCACAGCAUCUGCUUGAAAAGCACAAGGUCCUGAGUUUGAUUCUUGGUAAAUCAA
RNAcentral lists this transfer RNA (72 nucleotides) under Cavia porcellus (domestic guinea pig). It matches the Rfam family "tRNA". Rfam says of the family: Transfer RNA (tRNA) molecules are approximately 80 nucleotides in length. Their secondary structure includes four short double-helical elements and three loops (D, anti-codon, and T loops). Lineage: Eukaryota; Metazoa; Chordata; Mammalia; Rodentia; Caviidae. The record is from Rfam by way of RNAcentral.